AGGCUCUCCACAGAAGUGGUUGAGGAUUUGAGAAGAGCUUGCAGAUGAUCAAGGAGCGACACGUGCAGGGAUGGCUUGAAAAGGGUAUGGCUGCUUUCUCUUCUGUUUAUCAGGUGUCCCAGGCAAUGUGGGCUGUGGUGUUAGUUCUUGAGAAUUGGAACAACGCAGGUGCUGAUGGUGGUCUUCUUUGGUAGGCAAAGAGGUGCCCGAAGCCCUGUCUUGUGUACCCUGAGCACUCCUUGCUGAGUAUGAAGCAUGCUUUCCAGCAGUUCCCAAAACUGUGUUGAAGCUGAAAUGCUGCGUCUGUUUUUUCUGUGUUGGGGUUGCACCUUGGUGAGUGUAGGGAUGGUUUUUAAGUGGAUGCAGUGGAGGGCCUGGCCCCAGUGUCCUGUAGUGUGUUUUGACCCGUCAGCAUAGCCUUUUGGUUCUCCGGUAGCCUACUUAAGUAAGUGAUUUUUCCUGUGAGUGGAAUGCAAUUGAUUUUUUUCUUUUUGGCGUGUAAUCAGUUCUGCUCCUAGACUUUUCUUUCCACGUAAAUAAAAGAUACGAAGAAAAAGAAAAGGUACGUUGUUUUUGGGAAACCGUGGGGUAGGGUUCCUUGACCACGUAAGUGCAGUAGUGCCUAGAGAGUGAUCAGGGUCACCUCCUUUAUCUCUAGAAAGUAAGUCUGUUUGGGCACACUUCAGCGCGGUGCCACCUGGGCACAUUUCUCAGGCGGAGCUACUGAGCAGGUGAGGUAAAGGAGCUGGGAACAGAGAGGUAUUGCACAAUGAUAUGUUGCCUUAGUAGUAGUGAACGUUGUGCAGGAGGUGGGUAUUAGGGCUGGCAUGCUGGUGAAUGCUGGUUCUCUGUGUUUUCAGAUGGGGAUGAGUCUGUUUAAACUAAUUCCAGUUCAAAAAGUUUCAGUUACUAGCUUGGUGAUAUUUUCAAUUCAAUAUUAAAACCUGCAGAGAAAGCAAAAGGGGAUUUUUGCUUCUAGAAUCACCACAGAUAUCUUGUCUGCUCUCUGCAUGCUUUUGAGAUAAAGCUGAUUUUAAAAAAGAAAGAAAAAAAAAACCAUCUGCUUCUCUUGCUCUUUACCUACUCUCUUGUGCUUUGCCCCUCAUCUUUCCCAGGUGAUUUGGUUUGGGUUCUGGGCGGGGACAAAAGGUAUAUGAGCCCCAGGCACGACAUCAGAGCUCCUUCUGCCUGGGCUGCUCUUUGGGGUCAGUGCUUUGUGUUUCCUUCAGUCAGUUGUAGGAUUCUCUAGGCAGGCUGGAGUUUAUGGAGUUCUAGAUUUCUAAGUGCUUGAAAUAGAGGGAUAUUUAGUAGAGGCUGCUGGCUCACUGGUUUUUGGGAUGGUCACAUAUGCUCCUGUUUUUGAGCUGUAUUUUAAUCUCUACACGUAUAAAAACACUUGUUUUAGUCCCCUGGAGAGUUUCACCAGCUUGAUUACAUGCUACAUGUGGCUUGAGAGUGUAGAUGCAGCAUCACCAAGAGACUGAGCAGGGUUGUAUCAGAGUCACCUUUUCAUCUGCAAAGGGUGCUUUGUGCAGUUGUGGAGAGGGAAGGGAAAUCUUCAUGUCAGGAAGCUCUGAGGGAAGGUGAGUGGUGUCAGCCAUGUCAUGCCUUAUCCGAAGCAAAGGGAAGACGCUCAGGAGUUUCCCUGUGAGGGUCCGAGGUGGCGUGGGUGAUGCUGGCCGCUCCUUUCAAGCUUGGACC
This is a non-coding RNA of Anas platyrhynchos (mallard), 1701 nucleotides long. The record is from RefSeq and is a predicted model, not a curated record. NCBI's taxonomy places the organism in Eukaryota, Metazoa, Chordata, Aves, Anseriformes, Anatidae.